AUACGGAGGGUGCGAGCGUUAAUCGGAAUUACUGGGCGUAAAGCGCGCGUAGGCGGUUUGGUCAGUCGGAUGUGAAAUCCCCGGGCUCAACCUGGGAACUGCAUUCGAUACUGGCAAGCUAGAGUAUAGUAGAGGCAAGUGGAAUUCCGGGUGUAGCGGUGAAAUGCGUAGAUAUCCGGAGGAACAUCAGUGGCGAAGGCGACUUGCUGGACUAAUACUGACGCUGAGGAGCGAAAGCGUGGGGAGCAAACGGGAUUAGAAACCCCGGUAGUCC
This 274-nucleotide ribosomal RNA is filed under the name uncultured bacterium. Its description in RNAcentral is "partial 16S ribosomal RNA". It matches the Rfam family "Bacterial small subunit ribosomal RNA", at positions 523 to 796 of the family's 1533-position model. The record is from RNAcentral.